RNAcentral lists this unclassified non-coding RNA (791 nucleotides) under Hevea brasiliensis (rubber tree). The record is from RNAcentral. Lineage: Eukaryota; Viridiplantae; Streptophyta; Magnoliopsida; Malpighiales; Euphorbiaceae.
AUUAUAGUUGGGCUUUCUGAUGGAUCUCUGUAUAAUAUAUCCUGGAAGGGAGAGUUUUGUGGGGCCUUGGAUGCCUUUGAUCUUGAUGUUCAGUGUCGUGAUGGCAGUGGGGUUCCUAAACUAGCAAAUGCUUUGGAAAAUGGUCUUGCUUCUGGCGGGAGUCUAUCUUUUUCUAAAUGCAGUCAUCAUUUGUCGAAAAACUCUGCUGUGAUCCAUUUGGAGUUCUCCUUACCCUUAAGGUUGCUUGUUGUGCUAUUUUCUGAUGGACAAUUGGUCUUAUGUUCUGUGAGCAAAAAAGGUCUGAAGCAAAUGGAAUCUAUCAAAGCUGAAAAGAAACUGGGCUCUGGUGAUGCUGUAUGUGCUGCAGUUGCUUCAGAUCAACAACUCCUUGCUGUUGGUACCAGAAGAGGUGUUGUUGAGCUGUAUGACAUUGCAGAAUCUGCUUCGCUUCUGCGUUCUGUUUCUCUGUAUGAUUGGGGAUAUUCAGUGGAGGACACUGGUGCUGUCAGUUUUGUUGCAUGGACACCUGAUAAUUCAGCUUUUGCAGUUGGGUGGAAGUUAAGAGGGCUAACAGUUUGGUCUGUUUCUGGUUGCCGCUUGAUGUCCACCAUUCGUCAAAUUGGCUUAAGUUCUGCAUCUUCUCCAGUGGUCAAACGAAAUCAGGAAUGUAAAUAUGAACCUAUGAUGAACGGUACCUCAUUGAUGAACUGGGAUGAAUAUGGAUACAGGCUUUAUGCUGUUGAGGAAGGAUCUUCAGAGAGAAUAAUUGCAUUCUCUUUUGGAAAGUGUUG